UGUGAGAGGGGGCUUGCUCCCGAUGGCGGUCUUUCAGCUGAAUCUUUUUUGGCUGGCGCAUCGCUAUCGGGAGCAAGCCCCCUCCCACA
This 89-nucleotide unclassified non-coding RNA is filed under the name Pseudomonas palleroniana. Lineage: Bacteria; Pseudomonadati; Pseudomonadota; Gammaproteobacteria; Pseudomonadales; Pseudomonadaceae. The record is from RNAcentral.